GUUUUAAAUGAAGAGUUAGCAAAACCUAAUCUACAAGGACAUGAUGAAGAAGCAAAGUUUAAAGGAUUUAUUCCAAAGCCAAUUCCCAUAGUGAAGCCUAUUCCAAAACCAUUUCCCAUCAUUAAGCCUAUUCCAAAGAUAAUUCCUAUUGCUAAACCUAUUCCUAUUCCGAUUUAUAAGCCUAUAUCAAAAUCAAUUCCCAUUAUUAAGCCUGUUCCAAAGAUAAUCCCCAUUAUUAAACCAAUUCCAAUUAUUAAACCUGUACCAAAACCAAUUCCCAUUAUUAAGCCUGUCCCAAAACCAUUUAUAGUGAAAAAGCCUAUCCCUGUUGAGUCGGAGGAAUUUCUAAAACCAAAGCCUUUCUUCAAAAAGCCUAUUCCUAAACUACCACUUCACCCUAAAUUCAAGAAACCAAUUCUACCACCAUUGCCAAUUCACAAGCCAAUUCCAACUCCAUAAGAGGAUAAUACUCUAUAUCUCGAGCUAUAUAGUUAUCCGUUCCAUUUCUAAUGCCUUUAUAAGUAAAGCUGCAUCGUAUCUCAAUUAAAUUUCGUACUCUUCUCGUAUACUGUAAUGGAAAAUAAGUAGUUGAUGCUCUCUGUUCAAUGAAGUUCUCGGUGUUAUCAUGUGUAGAUCGAUUAUAUUAAUGCAAGAGAUUGUAUAUGCAGUUAUUACUUAUUAUUUAAAUAAUGUUUUUUAAUAGUUUUUCAGUUUUAUAUUUUAUGAAUAUAUACUUAAUUGUGAGAGAGAGUGGGGCUCAUCGAUAAAUGUAGCAAUUUCUGCGAGAGAUAUAUCUUAACAAUUACAUUUAUCAUGAAUAAUAUUACGACAAGUAAAUCACUAAAUUAGUUCUUAAAAUUUUAUAGUUCAAAUCAAACAUUUCAUUUAGUAAGAUUUUAAAAGCCCUCUGUUAGUCCUUCAGUUUAUAAUAAAAGCAAAAGAAAAUUCCUCUUCUGUAAUAUUUUAUCAUUAUAUCAUUUUGCACUAAAAAGAACUAAAGUGAAAAAAAUUUGCAAGAAAAUAAAAUCAGUAAAAUUUUUUUUUGUCAAAUUAGGGGAUUGACAAAAUUAAUUAAUUUAUAAGAUCAAAUAAAACUUACACAAAUAUUACUAAAAAGAAAAAAAAACAUCAAUUCAUAGUUUCCUGACAAUAAAUAUAUGUGUAUUUGUUUAUUUUGUACUCUUUUGUUUGUUAAAAGAAUUUAAUAGUAAAGUCUAAUUCAAACUUAUAAAACUAGGUUAAAUAUUUAUUAAUUCAUUAAACUUUAAAUUAAAUUUAAAACAAAACCGUCAACCACGUACAUGAGAUAAACUCUUAGGUAUCAUCUGUCGAAAUAAAUGGUGAUGUUUGAUAAUCUUUUUCAUUGUGCCUUUAAUGGCCCUAUCUAUUUUAGCUACAGUAGUUUAUCAAAUUUUCACCUCAUCAUUUUCGGCAUCUUUAGAGAUAAUUAUAAAAUUUUGCUUCUAAACAUUUGACAUUAAGUCAUUAAUUAUAACAAUUGAUAAAGCGUCAUAUGUACCACUCAUGUAUUCCUAUUCAGUUUGUUGUUUUUCACGUCAAAUGCUAUCAACUAUCAAGUAUGAUCUAGUCAACAUUAUGGGAUGAGACAAUCACUUCAAGCUGUCUUUGUCUUGAAUUGGGUUGCUUAAUUUGGGCCAUGUCAUUUUCUUGUUUGGUUCUUGAAAGGGAAUUACUUUGGGCACCCUACAGUUUUGCUGGGACACCCAGCACCCUAGGUGAAAGGGCCAAAAUGCCCUUCACCCUAUUAAUAUAAAUAGGGCUACAUUAAUUCUUUCGUCCUGUGCUUCUUCGUGCUACAGUAAUUCUGCCGUUCCGCCACAAUGCUUCUUCCUUCGUGCUGCGCUUCUUUCUCCUCGUGGUGGUCUCCUUCAUUCUCCUUCUACUUCUUCAUGUUGCGGUUCUUCUUCUUCAUGGUUGUGGUUCUUCUUUUUCCUCUUUCUCCACUUCCCGUGCGGCUAUGGUUUUUCUUCUUUCCUUCUUCUUCCUCCACUUCCCGCGCCCCUGUUCUUCUUCUUCCUCUCCAACAAAAAAAUGACAUUUUUCUAGGAAAACCCCAUAUGGAUAUGGUUCAUAUAGAUUGCUAAUUUGUAUGAGUUUUUUUUUUUUUUUUGUUGAAUAAUUUUGUUUCAAUUUUUCUUCUUCUAAAUUUGUUUUUUUUUAAUUUUUGAUUUUUGAAUUAUUAUUUAAAUUAUUUCGUAGUAUAAUGUUAUUUUGUAAUGUUAGUGAAAUUUUAUAAUUUUUUCUGAUUUAUAUGUUAAGUACUGAUUUUAUUUAUAAAAAAUAUAUUAGUUAUUACUAAGAUUAGAUUAGAUUGCUAAAAUUAAGAUUAGAUUGGUGAAACAAUUAAUUUUUAAUAUUGUUAUAUUAUAUUUGUCUAACUUUUAAAAAAAAUAAAACAAAUAUUUAAAAGAUAUUGAAUUUGUUACUUAUGAAAAAUAUUGAAAUCAUAAUUAAAAAUAAUUUAAAUUUUUUAGUUACAACAAACAUUUAAACAAAUUUUUUAAUAAUUUAAAUUUGUUAUAAAAAUAUUGAAACAUAAUUUUUAAUUGUACAAUAAAUCUGUUAGUUAUAAAAAUUAUGAAACCAAAAUUUAAAAUAUGAUAAGAUUUUUAGUUUAAGAUAAUGAUUGAAAUCAAAUAUGAAAAAAUAUUUGAUUUAGUAGUUAUAAAAAAUAUUGAAACCAAAAUUUAAAAUAUGAUAAGAUUGUUAGUUUAAGAUAAUGAUUGAAAUCAAAUUUAAAAAUAUAUUUGAUUUAGUAGUUAUAAAAAAUAUUGAAACCAAAAUUUAAAAUAUGAUGAGAUUGUUAGUUUAAGAUAAUGAUUGAAAUCAAAUUUAAAAAUAUAUUAAAUUUGUUAGUUAUAAGAAAUAUGAAAACCAAAAUUUAAAAUAUAAUAAGAUUGUUAGUUUAAGGUAAAAUUAAAUUUAAAAUAAUAUUUGAUUUUGUAGUUAUAAAAAAUAUUGAAAUUAAAAGUUAAAAUGUGAAAUAUGAUAAGAUUGAUAGUUUAAGAUAAUGAUUGAAAUCAAAUUUAAAAAUAUAUUAAAUUUGUUAGUGAUAAGAAAUAUGUAAACCAAAAUUUAAGAUAUGAUAAGAUUGUUAGUUUAAGGUAAUGAUUAAAAUUAAAUUUAAAAAUAUAUUUGAUUUUGUAGUUAUAAAAAAUAUUGAAACCAAAAUUUAAAAUAUGAUAAUAUUGUUAGUAUAAGAUAAUGAUUGAAAUCAAAUUUAAAAAUAUAUUAAAUUUGGUAGUUAUAAAAAAUAUUGAAACCAAAAUUUAAGAUUUAAAAUUUAUUUAUUAAUCCCUAUUAUUUAAUUUUUUCAAAAUUAUUUUUGUAGAAAUUUUUUAUUCAUUUAUUUUAUUUACAAAAUUUGAUAAUUAAAAAAAUCUGAUAUUUAAUUGAAUGAUGUAUUUAGAUUUUUAUUAUAAUGAUUAAAAAUUAAAUAAAUAUGAUAUUUAAUUGAAUGAUGUAUUUAGAUGUUUUUUUAUAGCAAUUGAUAAUGAAAUAAAUUUGAUAUUUUUUACAUCUGUAAAUACUUAUUAAACCUAUCAUUUUUAUUUAUAAUUUAUAUAUGUAAAAAAAUUAAUUAUUAUAUAAAAAUAAUCAUUACAAAAUUUAUUAUGUAAAUUUAAAUAUACAUUAAAUAUAAAUUAAAAAUUUUAGUAUUAUAUAUAACGACACUAUUUACUUAUAGCAUAAUAUGUCUAUUAGUUCAGUUGGUUUGAUUGUUAUAUUGAACCCUCUCUAUCAUACCUUUGGGAAAGUUAUUCUACUUACAAAAUGGAUCGUCAAUUCUAGAAGAAAGCAUAAAUACCUCCUCUCUAAUAUUUACCAACUUGAUCAUUAAGAACAAAGGCUCAAGACUCUUCAAUGUACUCUAAGCUUCUUUUUUUCUUUUUUUGCUAUGUAAAGACAACUUAUAUCAAUUACAAAAGUUAACUAGUAAUGAGCUAAAAAAAAAACAAAACUCUUCCCAACGUUGUAUUUUGUAAACGAAGAAAAUAAAUUAAAAUAUGCCAUGAUAAAGAAAAAGUUGCUGUCAAUAAUAUAAUAGAAGAUAGGAUAUCAUCAUCGUAAUUAUUGUAAAGUAGUGGUAUUUCUAAUGUUAUUUCUUAGUAUAUAAAGCUCAUCCAUUCAUGAAACCAUUUAUGUAUUUCAAGUAAUAUUUUCAAAUUCAGAUAAACAAUUAACUAAACUUUCUCCAAACUUACUCACCAAAUUAGUAUCAUUGUGUAUUGUUAAAUUUAUUAUACUACAUAAAUUUUUCAUCAUAUCCAAAUUAAUUUUUUAAUUGUUAUUAAAGAACUUUCUAAUUAUUAAAAACUAUGUAAGGACACAUUUUUGUAACAGAUCUACUUAGCAUUUUUUGAAGUUGUUUGAUUAUGUUAUUACUUCACCCUUAAUUUUCGAUUCUUUGGUUUUCAUGAAGGUAUGCAUUGCAGAAUGGAGGUGCAGUGGAAUUUUCACUUGAAUUUUUUUUACUGAAAAUGUUCACACAAUCGAAGACCCAUAAUUGCAUUUUUUAUUAUUUAAAUUCUCGAUCUCUCUUUAGCUUUAAAUUAAGGGUAAAUUUUCAUUAGUUAAAUAUAAUGUCAAAUAAGGAUAUCUAAACUUUUAUUUGCAAUGAGUUUCUUCAAUUUUACGUGAUGGGAUUGUUUGCAUUUAUUUUAAUUGUUAUGUUUUGUCUAUUUUGAAGUUCUUUAUUGGCAAUGUAGGACAAAUCUUUUCUUAUGUCUUGGAUUAUGUGUUAGACAGUAAGCAAAAUCUCAUCAUCAUCUCCAUUUAUUGCAAGUAUAUAUGCUUGCAAUAGCAUUAUGCUAUGUUAGAUGAUUAAAAGAGAUGUAUUCUAUAUAUCAAUUUUUAAAUCACUAAUAUAAAUAUGUUCAGAAGAGAUAUUUUUAUUUUAAAUAUAAGAAUAUUUUUGGAUUUAUUUUUUGGGGUCUUCAAAUGUGUGAUGUUACAUUUGGCCAUAGGAGAUAUAUAUGGAUUGAUGUGCUCCAAAUGGAUGAAGUCAUACAAGAAACACCUUUCUCUAAUCAUUCUCUUUAGAUCAUCUAUCAAAAUUAUUCGUUCCACUUUGAUUUUAACUUAGAGAUGUUGCUCCAAGUCAGCAUUUUCCUUUUCUCUUCAGAAUUAGCUCCGAAUCAAGUUCUUGUUGCAAGACUAUUUUUCAUCAAUUAAAACUAAAUAUUCCCAGCCUGCCAAGAAUGCCUUCAAGCUAUAUGUUAGAAAUUAGAAGUGUUAUUUCUCAUCUAAUUAAUACAACACAUCUCACAUAGUUUUAUGAACUUUUAGAAUGUUGGGAUUCAAUCAAUCAAUCUAAUUUGAUUCUAACAGGCAAUCAUCAAACUUAAUCACAUGUUUUCUCUUCAUGUAAAGAGAAAUUACUGUAUAAAGAUGAAUAGAACCCCUCUGUGUUCUCAUACUCAAAAUCUUGAUGAAAACUAAGCUGUGGAAGUGUACCUGGAUUAACCAUAGUGGAAUGAUGAUGAAAAGUUGAUCAGAAGAUUGAUUUUAUGACCUUCCAAAUGUAGAGAGUCUUUUUUUUUUUUUUUUCUUCUUCUCUUAAAGUUUUAUCUUUAUGAAGUGUACAUGUUGGUUUGACUUAAGUUGCUUUCUACAAAUGGGGACCAUAACCCCUUAAGCCCCUUAUCAAAUUAACAAUAUCACUAGUAUCUACACAAUUAACCUUUCAUGAUAUCCCCUAGCCAUAUUUUUAUAUUGAUUAGACCAUUUUAAUAUUUUGGCUAAUUAUAUAAUGACCCUAACUCAUCAAAUUAUGUGAUAUAAACCCAAAAUUGCUACUAUAAAAAACUUCUAAUUUUUAAUUUAAAGCAUAAAAGUCUGAAAUAUUUACGUUGUCACCUAAGACAAAAAAUUCAUAGACUACGUUUUGGCCUAACUUAUUUAGAAGAUGAUCAAAAGUACAAAAUGAAAAUUAUUACACUGUCAAGUAUUUCAGUCUUAUAAAGUUACUUUUAUGUUUGAUAUAAAUACUUUCUUGUGACAAAAAUAAUAUUUGUUUUAAUAAUCAUGUCGUGAGUUUGCUUCUGUUUUGUAGAUUAUAUUCCCUUUUAAAAGUACUGAAACAAGAUUGAGCAAAGGUGUUCCCACUGAAAGUUGCCCUACAUUUUAUCAUAUAAGCAGUCUUUCAGAGGUGGAAACUUUUUGUUUGUAAAAACAUUUGAUAUUUGAAUACAGACUCAGACUCAUAGGUACAAGAUUAUUCUAAUUAUGCAAUUAUGUAUAUAUAUAUAUAUAUAUAUAUAUAUAUAUAUAUAUAUAUAUAUAUAUAUAUAUAUAUAUAUAUAUAUAUAUUACCAAAAGAAAUCUCUCUCUCUUGGUUAUUUAAAGAUAUCCAUAAAUUUUAAAAUGUUGUUGAUAAACUAAGAGGGUCAAUAAUUGAGUGCCUACAAGAAGAACAUAAAGACAUUUUUAUUUAACUUGAGGUCCAAUUCCUAUUAUUUUCAUGAAGAAAUAAUUCUUCACCUACAGAUCAAAUUCAUGAUUUGACAGAGGGAUCUCAAGAUGACAAAGCCUUCUCCAGCCUUGUUCUUUUGUUGGUGCAAUUGUCUUUUAUUGGACAAACUGUCAUCCCAAAAACCAUCAAGGAGAAGAUCCUUAGCUAUCUAAUAUAUUACUUUAAAUUAAUUUUUUCUAUUUGUUAUUUACUUUAAAUUUUAUUUGCAAAUUGUGGUAUAUUUUAGUCAAAAGGUGAUUAUUUCCUUUAAAUUCACAGAAAAAGUCAUACAAAUUUUGUAUAUUUUAUGAGUAUUAUAUUUUGUUUUGAAAGAAAAACUUAAUAUAUCCUGUAGAUUUUUAACAAAAAUAAUUUACAAAUAGGUUCUCUAACAUUUUGUAUUCACCGAAAGUAUAAAAGUCAUAAAAAAACCAUGAAAAGUCUUAUUAAUAAAGUGGAAAAAUCUAUUAUAAUAUCAUAAAAAGGUAAUUAAUAAAAUAAUAAUUAACAUUUAAAUUAUAUAAUUAAGAGUUUAAUGCACAUUCGCAUAUAUACUGUCAAUUUAACAUUUGUGUUAUUAUUGCUAUGGUGAUUUGUUAUUAAAUCAUUAUAUAAAAUACGUUACACUUGUAAUGUAUAACUUAUUUUCUUUUUAAUUAAAUAUUGAAAAUUAUGCAUAAAAAUGAUACCAUUAAAACUAGUAUAUUUAAUUUAUAUCUUAUAAUUUUAAAUAUUUUGGCAAGCUAUGCUAUUGGUGGUUAGUGUUUAUUUAUGGUUAAUUCGAUAACUUCUUCAUCGGUGACCCCAAUAAUAUAUAUAUAUAUAUAUAUAUAUAUAUAUAUAUAUAUAUAUAUAUAUAUAUAUCAGUCAUUAUUGAUUAUACCAUCAGUAUAACACUCUUAAUCAAUCAAUUUCUGCGAUCCUCACACAGUAAAAGUUCUCUCUCGCUUGCACCUAUUGCUCAGAUACCUUUAUCGAAUAUGCAUGCAUAUAGUUAACCUUUCAUUGUAAAUCUUUACGUUACUUACACAGUUACACUCCAUGAUAUAUACUACAAUGGCGUGUCAUGCUAUAUUAUUUGAAGAUUACCAACCAUAAAAGAAAAGAAACACCUAAAAUAGAAGGCUCAUUCAAUGGAAGGGAGCCAUGAAUAAUCUCAGCAACUAUAACGGUGUUAAACGCGAUCUCUCUAAACACACCUCCAACCACUCCCAAUAAUAAUAAUCACUGACCAAAUCUGAAAUCUCGGAGUGCAUUUCAAAAAGAAAGUAAUGACCAGUAGAGCCAUGAACGUACAAUUAGUUCCAAGCUAGGUAUUAUAAAUAAUGAGAGUAUGUGACAAGAGUAAUUCAAGCCUUCAAAUAUUUUCCUUUUUAGCUUUGAUUAGAGUGGCCUAGUUGUUGUUUUUCUCAAUGAGAAGGGUUUCCACUAUGCAUUGCGCACUUUGGCGCUUCUGUGUUCCCUUGUUGCUACUUGCUAGCUUCAGUUAUGCUCCUUUUGUUUUGGCCACUGAAAUUUCAGGUUUGUCGCUCAUCCUAUUACUCACACAUAUUCAUUUUGUUAUACAUUAUUUUAUGAAAUAUGAUGUUUCUUUGUGUUAGUCCUUAAUAAAAUAAAUUAUUCAUUUUAAUAUUUACAUUUGCCAAAACAGUAUAAUUUCUAAUCUAAGGACUUAAAAAGAUUAAAUUUAAAUAUGGGUUAAUUUUAAAAAAAAGUGUGGUAAUAUAUACCAAAAAGUAUAUACAAGUGGCCGUAGUAGUUAGUACCUAGAUAUGAUCAGGUGUAGAAGAUUAGAAUGAAAAUUUGUAUUAUUCAUGAAGUACUGUACGAAUGUCGCUGGCCUACGUUUCAAGUAAAAAUUAAGAUCUACCCUUCAUACACAAGAUUCAGCCAACGAAGGGUGCUUUUAAUUACUCUGACAGAUUUUAUUGCAUGUCUUCCGAAUUCAAUUCAAUCAUUUAUCUUGGCAUGCAGUAUAUGCGUGUGGAAUUAACUUGUGGUCUAUUGUUGAGCGUGGCUCCCAUACAUAGACCAUGCAUACUCCCCACAAAAAUAUGUUGAAAAGAACUAUGGGGAUCCAUGCCAGUACCUACCUGGUACCUAGUUUUCUUCAUUAUAUAGCUAUUAUGAUUGGCGAUGAAUUUUUCAAUAUAUUUAAUUUUGUAUUUAUAUAUUUUUUUCUCUAUCAACACUUGAAAAAUAUCAAAUUUACUGGGUAUUACAAAAGUAUUUACCGUGUUUAACUUAUAUUUUCUUGUUUCUUAUUAUGUAGGGAAUGAAGUGAGCACUGAUGGAAAGGUUUUAAAUGAAGAGUUAGCAAAACCUAAUCUACAAGGACAUGAUGAAGAAGCAAAGUUUAAAGGAUUUAUUCCAAAGCCAAUUCCCAUAGUGAAGCCUAUUCCAAAACCAUUUCCCAUCAUUAAGCCUAUUCCAAAGAUAAUUCCUAUCGCCAAACCUAUUCCUAUUCCGAUUUAUAAGCCUAUAUCAAAAUCAAUUCCCAUUAUUAAGCCUGUUCCAAAGAUAAUUCCCAUUAUUAAACCAAUUCCAAUUAUUAAACCUGUACCAAAACCAAUUCCCAUUAUUAAGCCUGUCCCAAAACCAUUUAUAGUGAAAAAGCCUAUCCCUGUUGAGUCGGAGGAAUUUCUAAAACCAAAGCCUUUCUUCAAAAAGCCUAUUCCUAAACUACCACUUCACCCUAAAUUCAAGAAACCAAUUCUACCAUCAUUGCCAAUUCACAAGCCAAUUCCA
This 9223-nucleotide long non-coding RNA is filed under the name Glycine max (soybean). RNAcentral's name for it is "long non-coding RNA (GMAX_LNC003544)". Lineage: Eukaryota; Viridiplantae; Streptophyta; Magnoliopsida; Fabales; Fabaceae. The record is from RNAcentral.